AGCUUUGUAUAGGGUGAUUUAAGAAACAUCUCAAAGAAGGAGAAGUAGAUUGAGAAGUAUAAAGGGGAUAUUUCAGAGAAUGGGACAAAAUGACUGAGAGUACAGCUUUAAAUGAUGAGGCAAAGGGAAGGUGUGGCAUAUAAAACGCCAGCAUCAGAGGAAUGCAGACCUCUCUUGAAGCAAAGAAAAGGCAUGUCAUGAGAACAUUAAGUUUAAUAUUUUAAGAUCUGAGAGCUAAUUUGGCUCUUCUUAACCUAAGGAAACAACACUAGGUGGAAAUAUUUCAUUUGGAAAGUGUAAAGGUUUAUUAGGGACAAAAGCAAAUGUGCAGAAGAUUGACAAAUUGACACCUGCAGAGAAAGCCAAGGUCAGGAAUUUGAACGUGCUGUUUAAGUGGCAUUUAGGGGUUAUUCCAUGAGUGGAAACAGAAGGAAGGAUUAAGUGGGUGGCGAGGAAUGCCAGGAGAUUUCAUCUUGUCUAUAAUCAAGGAUAUGGAAGUAUAGAGAGCACAUGAAAUAAACAAAGUAAAGGAAGGAGUCAUGAAUAUGAAUGGAGAAAUUAGGUGUAGUGAAAGAUUAAAGGAAGUCAAGACUGCAGGGAAAUAAAAGGAGAGUCAAGGUGAAAUGCCGAAAUGUCAGCCUUACUGCUCCUAUGAUGCUGCUUGGCCUGCUGUGUUCAUCCAGCUCUGCACCUUGUUGUCUCAGAUUUUCCAGCAUCUGCAGUUCCUACUAUCUCUGAUGCAAAUGAAAUCAGCCAGAAUGAAGAGUUGCUCAACAUAGAAUCUGAAGGAGGGAAAAAAGGAAGCCAUCUGGACAUGUACAAAUUCAACAAUGUUAGAGAAACAUCUUGGAAUAUAUACCUGUGGUUCCUGGACUUACUUGGAAAAUUAGUAAAAUAGAUGUCAAAGAAAACAACUACCAAACAGAUGAAAUGUGUAAAUUUAAAUGGUCAAAGAAGAUCAACUUCCUUUAAAAAAGUCUCAUUGCUGGAUCAUAAGGUUCUGGAUCAAGUUUGACACCUGGGCUUACGCACAGGACAAAGCUGAC
Rhincodon typus (whale shark) is the source of this 1046-nucleotide long non-coding RNA. RefSeq lists it as uncharacterized. The record is from RefSeq and is a predicted model, not a curated record. Lineage: Eukaryota; Metazoa; Chordata; Chondrichthyes; Orectolobiformes; Rhincodontidae. The transcript has 3 exons.